This 253-nucleotide ribosomal RNA is filed under the name uncultured bacterium. RNAcentral's name for it is "partial 16S ribosomal RNA". It matches the Rfam family "Bacterial small subunit ribosomal RNA", at positions 524 to 776 of the family's 1533-position model. The record is from RNAcentral.
GACGAACCGUGCAACCGUUGUUCGGAAUCACUGGGCUUAAAGGGCGCGUAGGCGGGCCAGCCAGUCUGUGGUGAAAGCCUCCAGCUUAACUGGAGAAGUGCCGUGGAUACUGCUGGCCUCGAGGAGGGUAGGGGCAUCUGGAACGGUCGGUGGAGCGGUGAAAUGCGUUGAUAUCGACCGGAACUCCGGUGGCGAAGGCGAGGUGCUGGACCCUUUCUGACGCUGAGGCGCGAAAGCCAGGGGAGCAAACGGG